UCUGCAGUCCUGUUCCUAUUCUCUUGACUCCAAAAAUGGUGUGUGCAAUAGAACUUCUCGUUAAGUACAGGGAAACUUGUUGGGUUCUCAAAGACAACACUUACCUGUUUGCAAGACCCACAGAGAUGACACAUUUCUGUGGUUCUGACUGCAUACGAGACUAUGCAAAAGCAUGUCAUGCAAAGUGUCCUGUGUCACUUACAUCCACGAAACUACGAAAACAUGAUGCCACCCUUUCAACUGUGCUAAACAUGACAGACACAGAGAUGGACCAGCUGGCCAACUUUCUUGGCCAUGAUAUUAGAAUCCAUCGCAGGUUCUAUAGACUCCCUGAAAAGACACUGCAGCUGGCAAAAAUCAGCAAAGUUUUGAUGGCACUCGAGCAAGGUCGAUUAUCUGAAUUCCAUGGAAUUAACUUGAAUUAAAUCACAAUUGGUCCAAAUGGUAAGUUGUCAUCUUUGUUGUUUGUUUGGUUUGAACUCAAUUAUAAGCUUAACAUGUUAUGUGUACCACAGAAUGUGUUUUGGAAACUGAAGAGGAAGAUCUCACCAGAGAGGAAUAACACUAUUCAUGUCCUGACAAUGAAGAGGUGUCCUUUCCAGCCACUGAGGAUGAACACAUCCCGCCCCCCAAGAGACUGACACAACUUUCAAAAGACAGGGAUGCAUCAUCACGACAUCGUGCAGUGAGACAUACUUCCAAUGGUCUAUAAUUAUUUCCAUCAUUAAGUAAAGCUGCCCAGAAAAGGCGACCCUGGACACAGAAAGAGGUGAAGGCCGUCGAGAAGCACAUGAACCGAUUCAUCCCUUCUGGUAUUGUACCAGGAAAGAGUGACUGUUUAAAAUGUUUGAGGGCCAAACCGGAAGUUCUCCAAAACCGGGAAUGGCAAGCAUUGAAGUUCUAUGUGUUCAACCGCAUUACGGCCUACAAAAGGAGAUUGCAGCUAAAAUAGUAGAUUAAGAGAUAAUCAGCAAGACUGGUUAAGUAGAACCGUUUUUUAUGUGAUUUAUGUUCAAUGUUGUUUAAAAUAAAGAAUAAAAUGAAAGUUUAAAUUAGUUUUCUUGAAAAUGUGUUAUCCCGGCAUUAAAGGCCUACUGAAAC
Molecule: long non-coding RNA, 1101 nt
Organism: Entelurus aequoreus (snake pipefish)
Lineage: Eukaryota; Metazoa; Chordata; Actinopteri; Syngnathiformes; Syngnathidae
Exons: 3
Source: RefSeq, a predicted model, not a curated record